AGUGAACGCUGGCGGCAGGCCUAACACAUGCAAGUCGAACGGCAGCACAGUAAGAGCUUGCUCUUACGGGUGGCGGGUGGCGGACGGGUGAGGAAUGCAUCGGAAUCUACUUUUUCGUGGGGGAUAACGUAGGGAAACUUCCGCUAAUACCGCAUACUACCUACGGGAGAAAGCAGGGGAUCUUCGGACCUUGCGCGUUUGAAUGAGCCGAUGUCGGAUUAGCUAGUUGGCGGGGUAAAGGCCCACCAAGGCGACGAUCCGUAGCUGGUCUGAGAGGAUGAUCAGCCACACUGGAACUGAGACACGGUCCAGACUCCUACGGGAGGCAGCAGUGGGGAAUAUUGGACAAUGGGCGCAAGCCUGAUCCAGCAAUACCGCGUGGGUGAAGAAGGCCUUCGGGUUGUAAAGCCCUUUUGUUGGGAAAGAAAAGCUGCAGGUUAAUACCCGGCUGUUCUGACGGUACCCAAAGAAUAAGCACCGGCUAACUACGUG
RNAcentral lists this ribosomal RNA (492 nucleotides) under uncultured bacterium. RNAcentral describes it as "partial 16S ribosomal RNA". It matches the Rfam family "Bacterial small subunit ribosomal RNA", at positions 29 to 507 of the family's 1533-position model. The record is from RNAcentral.